This is a non-coding RNA of Prunus mume (Japanese apricot), 3685 nucleotides long. The record is from RefSeq and is a predicted model, not a curated record. Lineage: Eukaryota; Viridiplantae; Streptophyta; Magnoliopsida; Rosales; Rosaceae.
GUAUAACUAUAAACUAAAGUCCAAUCCUUGGACUUCAUCUCUCUCCUCCUCCUCUGUAUCUUCUUCAACAAUGGCUCAUCUCUUCAGAGACCUCUCACUGGGCCAUUCUAAGAGAGGGACCACAGCCACCGCCACAACCACCACACCCCCCAAAACACUUAGCAUACCCACCAAACCCAUCACCGCAAUGGCCACCGAUCUUCCCUCCCCACUCGGCCAGCUCGCUGCUCAACUCACUGACUCGGACCUCCGACUCACCGCAUACGAGAUCUUCGUAGCCGCCUGCCGCACAUCCACCGGAAAGGCCCUUACUUUCACGUCGUCUUCCGCUUCUUCUCACUUGGACUCACCGACACAGCACGCCAACUCGCCCAACGGCUCGCCGGCGUUGCAGAGAUCGCUCACUUCCGCAGCUGCCAGCAAGAUGAAGAAGGCAUUGGGUCUCAAAUCGCCGGGUUCGGGCUCCAAGAAGAGUCCUGGUUCCGGUGGGUCCGGGUCGGGACCCGGAAAGCCCAAGCGGGUUAUGACGGUGGGUGAGCUGAUGAGGAUCCAAAUGGGGAUUUCUGACGCCAUGGACUCUAGAGUCAGGAGAGCUCUGCUUAGGAUUUCUGCUGCUCAGGUAGGAAGGCGAAUUGAGUCAGUGGUAGUUCCACUGGAGCUCUUACAGCAGCUCAAGUCCUCUGAUUUUACUGAUAAACAAGAAUACGAUGCAUGGCAGAAAAGAACCCUCAAAAUUCUUGAGGCCGGUCUCCUUUUGCAUCCCCACUUGCCACUCGACAAGUCGAAUAAUACUGCACAGCGGCUGCGGCAAAUUAUUCAUGGAGCAUUGGACAGGCCCUUUGAAACCGGGAUAAAUAAUGAGACUAUGCAGGUUCUUCGUAGUGCUGUUACAACUCUUGCUUCCAGGUCAUCUGAUGGUCUCUAUGAUUCAUCCCACUGGGCAGAUGGGUUACCAUUGAAUCUCCGGCUUUAUGAAAGGCUUCUAGAAGCCUGCUUUGAUCUUCACGAUGAAACAUCUGUAAUAGACGAAGUUGACGAGCUGAUGGAGCACAUUAAGAAGACCUGGACAAUCCUUGGAAUGAACCAGAUGCUCCACAACCUUUGCUUUACCUGGGUGUUAUUUCACCGCUUUGUAGCAACUGGCCAAGUUGAACUGGACCUGUUAUAUGCUGCUGAUAGUCAGCUAGCCGAGGUUGCUAAAGAUUCAAAGGCAACAAAGGAUCCCGAAUACUGCAAGAUCUUGAGUUCGACAUUGACUUCAAUAUUGGGUUGGGCAGAGAAGAGACUCCUUGCAUAUCAUGACACUUUUGACAGCAGUAACAUUGAUACCAUGCAGGCCAUUGUUUCUCUGGGGGUAGUAGCAGCUAAAAUUUUAAUUGAAGAUAUAUCAAAUGAGUAUCGGAGGAGGAGGAAAAGUGAAGUUGAUGUUGCUCGCAACAGGAUUGACACUUACAUUAGGUCAUCAUUACGCACUGCUUUUGCUCAGAGAAUGGAAAAGGCAGACUCAAGCAGGAGAGCAUCAAGACACCAGCCAAAUCCCCUUCCCGUUCUUGCCAUCCUUGCAAAGGACGUUGGUGAGCUGGCAGUUAAGGAGAAGCAGGUGUUCAGUCCCAUACUGAAGAGAUGGCAUCCUUUUGCGGCUGGAGUGGCUGUGGCAACCCUUCAUGCUUGCUAUGCGAAUGAGAUUAAACAAUUCAUAUCGGGUAUAACGGAGUUGACACCAGAUGCUGUACAAGUUUUAAGAGCUGCAGAUAAGCUGGAGAAAGAUCUUGUGCUGAUAGCGGUUGAAGAUUCUGUAGAUAGUGAUGAUGGUGGCAAGGCAAUAAUUCGGGAAAUGCCCCCUUAUGAGGCUGAAGCUGCAAUUGCAAAUCUGGUAAAAGUGUGGAUCAAGACUAGAGUGGACAGAAUGAAAGAAUGGGUGGAUAGGAAUCUGCAACAAGAGGUAUGGAACCCACAAGUAAAUGAAGAAGGCUAUGCUCCAUCUGCUGUUGAAGUUUUGCGAAUUUUAGAUGAAACUCUGGAUGCGUUCUUUCAGCUGCCAAUAUCAAUGCAUCCUGCAUUGCUUCCUGACUUGAUGGUUGGCCUCGACAGAUGUCUUCAAUACUACGUAACCAAAGCAAAAUCUGGAUGUGGAUCACGUAAUACAUUUGUUCCCACUAUGCCAGCAUUGACCAGAUGUACUAUGGGAUCAAAGUUCCAAGGCUUUGGCAAAAAGAAAGAAAAAUCGCCAAAUCCUCAAAAGAGGAACUCUCAGGUUGCAACACUCAACGGGGAUAACUCCUUUGGAAUACCACAGCUGUGUGUUCGUAUAAACACAUUGCAAAGAAUCCGGAGUGAGUUGGAGGUUUUGGAGAAACGUACUAUUACUCAUCUAAGGAAUUCUGAAUCUGCUCAUGUAGAAGACUUCUCGAAUGGAUUGGGGAAAAAGUUUGAACUCACACCAGCGGCUUGUGUGGAAGCAAUCCAACAGCUUUGUGAGGCAGUGGCUUAUAAAAUGAUUUUCCAUGACCUAAGUCAUGUCCUGUGGGAUGGCCUGUAUGUUGGGGAACCAUCAUCUUCUAGAAUAGAGCCUUUUCUUGACGAACUGGAAAAGAACUUACUUAUCAUAUCAAACACUCUGCAUGAAAGAGUUCGUACACGGAUUAUUACUGAUAUCAUGAGAGCUUCCUUUGAUGGAUUUUUGUUGGUUCUGCUUGCUGGAGGUCCCUCCCGUGCAUUCGUCCGGCAAGAUUCGCAAAUAAUAGAGGACGAUUUCAAAUCCCUUAAAGACCUAUUCUGGGCCAAUGGAGAUGGCUUGCCUUCAGAACUGAUAGAUAAGUUUUCAACUACAGUGAGAGGUGUACUUCCCCUUUUCAGAACUGAUACUGAGAGCCUUGUUGAACGGUUUAGACGUGUGACCUUGGAGUCGUAUGGCUCUUCUGCCAGGUCCAGACUCCCAUUGCCCCCCACUUCCGGCCAGUGGAACCCAACUGAACCAAACACACUCCUACGCGUGUUGUGCUACAGGAAUGAUGAAGCAGCUACCAAGUUUCUUAAGAAGACUUACAAUUUGCCUAAGAAACUCUAAAAUUACCUUGGGGGAUGGUGCAUGGCAAGGGCUUGCAUAACAUUGUUAGGGGCUUCGACAGUGCUUGUAUUUAGUGUACGGAGCGAUGAUCACUGUGCCGAGAUGCUUCCAAUUUCAUGCAUUUGUGAGCAGAGGGGGAAGAGGCGUUUGCCGCCUUAGGCAGUGGCAGUGAUCAUCUUGUAUAGUAAAUUCUUGAGUGUUUGGUAUAUUCCAGCAGUUUGCUAAGACUACUACAGGUCGAAUAUUCUUUUUUUCUUCAUUCAUUUUCGUCGUUUAGAGGCUAUAAAAUCCAAUUGAUGUAUUCUUUUUCUUUUUUAAUGCUCUACUGCACAGCAAUUAUUUUUUGUAUUUUUUAGCUUUAUGUUUAAACGACCGAUGUUAUAUAUUUGUCAGUUUCCAGGUUUGAGUUCAAUAUCAUUUGUUGGUUUUCUUGUUGGUUUAAAAGUAUAGUGUGGUUGGCUAAUCAGGGUCUAGCUUAGUGGAAAAGGAUCUUGACUUGCAGACCGGUGAUUUUAGUUUUGAAUCCUCAUGACACUUUAGUAGUAUGUGAGAAAUCCUCAUCCUCUUUGUAGUUUAGACUAUUGCUUGUAUUCAAAAAAGUAUAGCAGCCUUCUGUUG